Molecule: ribosomal RNA, 468 nt
Filed under: uncultured bacterium
Lineage: Bacteria
Description: partial 16S ribosomal RNA
Rfam family: Bacterial small subunit ribosomal RNA
Source: RNAcentral
GACGAACGCUGGCGGCGUGCUUAACACAUGCAAGUCGAACGGAAAGGCCCUGCUUUUGUGGGGUUCUCGAGUGGCGAACGGGUGAGUAACACGUGAGUAACCUGCCCUUGACUUUGGGAUAACUUCAGGAAACUGGGGCUAAUACCGGAUAUGAUCUCCUGCUGCAUGGUGGGGGUUGGAAAGUUUCGGCGGUUGGGGAUGGACUCGCGGCUUAUCAGCUUGUUGGUGGGGUAGUGGCUUACCAAGGCUUUGACGGGUAGCCGGCCUGAGAGGGUGACCGGCCACAUUGGGACUGAGAUACGGCCCAGACUCGUACGGGAGGCAGCAGUGGGGAAUAUUGCACAAUGGGCGGAAGCCUGAUGCAGCAACGCCGCGUGCGGGAUGACGGCCUUCGGGUUGUAAACCGCUUUCGCCUGUGACGAAGCGUGAGUGACGGUAAUGGGUAAAGAAGCACCGGCUAACUACGUG